CCCGCAAAAGAUGAUGUGUUCUGAACACAGUACAGUAAAAAGUUUACUGUUUCAAAUUUGAAUUUCAAAUUUAAAUGCAUGCUGUUGUAUCAUAUUUAGAUCCUAGUGUAGGAUUAAUUAAUAUUAAUUAAUAAAAUUAAUUAAUAAUUCCACUGUAAAAUAGUAAUUUUGAAAAAUUUUUAAAAUUACUAUUUUGCCCCUGCACUGAAUUUUCGCUUCAGAGGCUUCUUCGGUCAGUGUGGACUUUCUUUUGCAGGUGCUCGUUUCUGACGACCAGGCGAUGAGGGUAUUAGCCGCAAC
Molecule: long non-coding RNA, 300 nt
Filed under: Elaeis guineensis (African oil palm)
Lineage: Eukaryota; Viridiplantae; Streptophyta; Magnoliopsida; Arecales; Arecaceae
Description: long non-coding RNA (EGUI_LNC013114)
Source: RNAcentral